UGCAAGUCGAGCGAACAGACGAGGAGCUUGCUCCUCUGACGUUAGCGGCGGACGGGUGAGUAACACGUGGAUAACCUACCUAUAAGACUGGGAUAACUUCGGGAAACCGGAGCUAAUACCGGAUAAUAUAUUGAACCGCAUGGUUCAAUAGUGAAAGACGGUUUUGCUGUCACUUAUAGGUGGAUCCGCGCCGCAUUAGCUAGUUGGUAAGGUAACGGCUUACCAAGGCAACGAUGCGUAGCCGACCUGAGAGGGUGAUCGGCCACACUGGAACUGAGACACGGUCCAGACUCCUACGGGAGGCAGCAGUAGGGAAUCUUCCGCAAUGGGCGAAAGCUUGACGGAGCAACGCCGCGUGAGUGAUGAAGGUCUUCGGAUCGUAAAACUCUGUUAUUAGGGAAGAACAAAUGUGUAAGUAACUAUGCACGUCUUGACGGUACCUAAUCAGAAAGCCACGGCUAACUACGUGCCAGCAGCCGCGGUAAUACGUAGGUGGCAAGCGUUAUCCGGAAUUAUUGGGCGUAAAGCGCGCGUAGGCGGUUUUUUAAGUCUAAUGUGAAAGCCCACGGCUCAACCGUGGAGGGUC
RNAcentral lists this ribosomal RNA (586 nucleotides) under uncultured Staphylococcus sp. RNAcentral describes it as "bacterial SSU rRNA". It matches the Rfam family "Bacterial small subunit ribosomal RNA", at positions 56 to 624 of the family's 1533-position model. The record is from RNAcentral. Lineage: Bacteria; Bacillati; Bacillota; Bacilli; Caryophanales; Staphylococcaceae.